UAAGUCCACUAAAGAGCCGUUCGAGACUAGGACGUUGAUAGGUCAGGUGUGUAAGCGUUGUGAGGCGUUGAGCUAACUGAUACUAAUGACUCGAGAGGCUUAACCAUACAACCCAGAUGGGUUUUG
Molecule: ribosomal RNA, 126 nt
Filed under: Shewanella xiamenensis
Lineage: Bacteria; Pseudomonadati; Pseudomonadota; Gammaproteobacteria; Alteromonadales; Shewanellaceae
Also listed under: 2 other names
Description: partial 23S ribosomal RNA
Rfam family: Bacterial large subunit ribosomal RNA (bases 1-107)
Source: RNAcentral